AGUACGGCCGCAAGGUUAAAACUCAAAUGAAUUGACGGGGGCCCGCACAAGCGGUGGAGCAUGUGGUUUAAUUCGAUGCAACGCGAAGAACCUUACCUGGUCUUGACAUCCACGGAAGUUUUCAGAGAUGAGAAUGUGCCUUCGGGAACCGUGAGACAGGUGCUGCAUGGCUGUCGUCAGCUCGUGUUGUGAAAUGUUGGGUUAAGUCCCGCAACGAGCGCAACCCUUAUCCUUUGUUGCCAGCGGUCCGGCCGGGAACUCAAAGGAGACUGCCAGUGAUAAACUGAGGAAGGUGGGGAUGACGUCAAGUCAUCAUGGCCCUUACGACCAGGGCUACACACGUGCUACAAUGGCGCAUACAAAGAGAAGCGACCUCGCGAGAGCAAGCGGACCUCAUAAAGUGCGUCGUAGUCCGGAUUGGAGUCUGCAACUCGACUCCAUGAAGUCGGAAUUGCUAGUAAUCGUGGAUCAGAAUGCCACGGUGAAUACGUUCCCGGGCCUUGUACACACCGCCCGUCACACCAUGGGAGUGGGUUGCAAAAGAAGUAGGUAGCUUAACCUUCGGGAGGGCGCUUACCACUUUGUGAUUCAUGACUGGGGUGAAGUCGUAACAAGGUAACC
Molecule: ribosomal RNA, 621 nt
Filed under: uncultured marine bacterium
Lineage: Bacteria
Description: bacterial SSU rRNA
Rfam family: Bacterial small subunit ribosomal RNA
Source: RNAcentral